AUGGCGUCGACGGCGAGGAUAACGAGGGCCGCGCUGCUCGUCGCCGCCGUCGCGUUGAUGCAGUGCUGCAACGCGGUCCUCGCGGCGAGGUUGCUGGAAGGGGACGGCGUUGACGUGUGGCUGCGGCAGGGCGCCGGGUCGCUGAUCAUGCAGGCCCUGCCCAGGGGCGGCUCGCCGCCGGGCGCAGGCAACUCGUGCUGGAACGAUCCCAAACACCCCCCGUCGUCGGGGAGCUGGCUCGCCCGCCGUAUAGCUCCUCCCGACGUUGACAAGCUUGUUUAG
Molecule: ribosomal RNA, 282 nt
Filed under: Triticum aestivum (bread wheat)
Lineage: Eukaryota; Viridiplantae; Streptophyta; Magnoliopsida; Poales; Poaceae
Description: partial small subunit ribosomal RNA
Source: RNAcentral